GUUAUACUCCCUCCGUUCCGAAUUACUUGUCUUAGAUUUGUCUAGAUACGGAUGUAUCUAGCACUAAAAUGAGUGUAUCUAGCACUAAAAUGAGUCUAGAUAUAUCCGUAUCUAGACAAAUCCAAGACAAAUAAUUCGGAACGGAUGGAGUAAAUG
Non-coding RNA from Triticum aestivum (bread wheat), 156 nucleotides. NCBI's taxonomy places the organism in Eukaryota, Viridiplantae, Streptophyta, Magnoliopsida, Poales, Poaceae. The record is from Rfam.